GGGUAGUUUACAUUUUUAGCUCAGGCAGCACAAAGACUAUAUGGUUCCCUGCCCCUGACCACAGAGCACUGAGGGAAGGGGAGCCCAAGCUGAACUCUUGCACCAGGGCCCAUGAGCCUUUAGCUACGCCCCUGACUGCAGAGUAGGG
This is a long non-coding RNA of Bufo bufo (common toad), 148 nucleotides long. RefSeq lists it as uncharacterized. The transcript is spliced from 3 exons. The record is from RefSeq and is a predicted model, not a curated record. NCBI's taxonomy places the organism in Eukaryota, Metazoa, Chordata, Amphibia, Anura, Bufonidae.